UGGGGAAUAUUGCACAAUGGGCGAAAGCCUGAUGCAGCAACGCCGCGUGAGGGACGACGGCCUUCGGGUUGUAAACCUCUUUUAGCAAGGAAGAAGCUAAAGUGACGGUACUUGCAGAAAAAGCGCCGGCUAACUACGUGCCAGCAGCCGCGGUAAUACGUAGGGCGCAAGCGUUAUCCGGAAUUAUUGGGCGUAAAGAGCUCGUAGGCGGUUUGUCGCGUCUGCCGUGAAAACCCGAGGCUCAACCUCGGGCCUGCAGUGGGUACGGGCAGACUAGAGUGCGGUAGGGGAGAUUGGAACUCCUGGUGUAGCGGUGGAAUGCGCAGAUAUCAGGAAGAACACCGAUGGCGAAGGCAGAUCUCUGGGCCGUAACUGACGCUGAGGAGCGAAAGGGUGGGGAGCAAACAGGCUUAGAUGACCCUGGUAGUCCACCCCGUAAACGUUGGGAACUAGUUGUGGGUCCAUUCCACGGAUUCCGUGACGCAGCUAACGCAUUAAGUUCCCCGCCUGGGGAGUACGGCCGCAAGG
This 528-nucleotide ribosomal RNA is filed under the name uncultured bacterium. RNAcentral describes it as "partial 16S ribosomal RNA". It matches the Rfam family "Bacterial small subunit ribosomal RNA", at positions 355 to 893 of the family's 1533-position model. The record is from RNAcentral.